UACAGAGGGUGCAAGCGUUAGUCGGAUUUACUGGGCGUAAAGGGUGCGUAGGUGGUUUUGUAAGUCGGAUGUGAAAGCCUGGGGCUCAACCUCAGAAUUGCACUCGAUACUGCAAGACUAGAGUUCGGUAGAGGGCGGCGGAAUUCCCGGUGUAGCGGUGAAAUGCGUAGAUAUCGGGAGGAACAUCAAUGGCGAAGGCAGCCGCCUGGGCCUGAACUGACACUGAGGCACGAAAGCGUGGGUAGCAAACAGG
RNAcentral lists this ribosomal RNA (253 nucleotides) under uncultured bacterium. Its description in RNAcentral is "partial 16S ribosomal RNA". It matches the Rfam family "Bacterial small subunit ribosomal RNA", at positions 524 to 776 of the family's 1533-position model. The record is from RNAcentral.